RNAcentral lists this ribosomal RNA (590 nucleotides) under Limosilactobacillus fermentum. RNAcentral's name for it is "bacterial SSU rRNA". It matches the Rfam family "Bacterial small subunit ribosomal RNA", at positions 708 to 1298 of the family's 1533-position model. Lineage: Bacteria; Bacillati; Bacillota; Bacilli; Lactobacillales; Lactobacillaceae. The record is from RNAcentral.
ACCAGUGGCGAAGGCGGCUACCUGGUGUGCAACUGACGCUGAGACUCGAAAGCAUGGGUAGCGAACAGGAUUAGAUACCCUGGUAGUCCAUGCCGUAAACGAUGAGUGCUAGGUGUUGGAGGGUUUCCGCCCUUCAGUGCCGGAGCUAACGCAUUAAGCACUCCGCCUGGGGAGUACGACCGCAAGGUUGAAACUCAAAGGAAUUGACGGGGGCCCGCACAAGCGGUGGAGCAUGUGGUUUAAUUCGAAGCUACGCGAAGAACCUUACCAGGUCUUGACAUCUUGCGCCAACCCUAGAGAUAGGGCGUUUCCUUCGGGAACGCAAUGACAGGUGGUGCAUGGUCGUCGUCAGCUCGUGUCGUGAGAUGUUGGGUUAAGUCCCGCAACGAGCGCAACCCUUGUUACUAGUUGCCAGCAUUAAGUUGGGCACUCUAGUGAGACUGCCGGUGACAAACCGGAGGAAGGUGGGGACGACGUCAGAUCAUCAUGCCCCUUAUGACCUGGGCUACACACGUGCUACAAUGGACGGUACAACGAGUCGCGAACUCGCGAGGGCAAGCAAAUCUCUUAAAACCGUUCUCAGUUCGGAC